AAGCUGUUAGGUUCAUACCCUAUUUAUAGAAGUAAAAUCUUCUUCUUUUUA
This 51-nucleotide transfer RNA is filed under the name Nithecus jacobaeae. Its description in RNAcentral is "partial tRNA-Met". The record is from RNAcentral. Lineage: Eukaryota; Metazoa; Arthropoda; Insecta; Hemiptera; Lygaeidae.